GAAUAUUGGACAAUGGGCGAAAGCCUGAUCCAGCAAUGCCGCGUGCAGGAUGAAGGCCUUCGGGUUGUAAACUGCUUUUGUACGGAACGAAAAGCUUUGGGUUAAUACCCUGGAGUCAUGACGGUACCGUAAGCAUAAGCACAGGCUAACUACGUUCCAGCAGACGAGGUAAUACGUAAGGUGCAAGCGUUAAGCGGAAUUACUGGGCGGAAAGCGGGCGCAGGCUGUUUUGUAAGACAGGGGGGAAAUCCCCGGGCUAAACCUGGGAACUGCAUUUGUGACUGUAUAGCUAGAGUACGGUAGAGGGGGGUGGAAUUCCGCGUGUAGCAGUGAAAUGCGUAGAUAUGCGGAGGAACACCGAUGGCGAAGGCAACCCCCUGGGCCUGUACUGACGCUCAUGCACGAAAGCGUGGGGAGCAAACAGG
Molecule: ribosomal RNA, 425 nt
Filed under: uncultured bacterium
Lineage: Bacteria
Description: partial 16S ribosomal RNA
Rfam family: Bacterial small subunit ribosomal RNA
Source: RNAcentral